This 1686-nucleotide ribosomal RNA is filed under the name Klebsiella pneumoniae. RNAcentral's name for it is "partial 23S ribosomal RNA". It matches the Rfam family "Bacterial large subunit ribosomal RNA", at positions 1260 to 2925 of the family's 2925-position model. The record is from RNAcentral. Lineage: Bacteria; Pseudomonadati; Pseudomonadota; Gammaproteobacteria; Enterobacterales; Enterobacteriaceae. RNAcentral also lists the same sequence under 1 other name.
CCUGUGAGGGUUGCUGGAGGUAUCAGAAGUGCGAAUGCUGACAUAAGUAACGAUAAAGCGGGUGAAAAGCCCGCUCGCCGGAAGACCAAGGGUUCCUGUCCAACGUUAAUCGGGGCAGGGUGAGUCGACCCCUAAGGCGAGGCCGAAAGGCGUAGUCGAUGGGAAACAGGUUAAUAUUCCUGUACUUGGUGUUACUGCGAAGGGGGGACGGAGAAGGCUAUGUUAGCCGGGCGACGGUUGUCCCGGUUUAAGCAUGUAGGCUGGUUGUCCAGGCAAAUCCGGAUAAUCAAGGCUGAGGUGUGAUGACGAGGCACUACGGUGCUGAAGUAACAAAUGCCCUGCUUCCAGGAAAAGCCUCUAAGCAUCAGGUAACAUUAAAUCGUACCCCAAACCGACACAGGUGGUCAGGUAGAGAAUACCAAGGCGCUUGAGAGAACUCGGGUGAAGGAACUAGGCAAAAUGGUGCCGUAACUUCGGGAGAAGGCACGCUGGUGUGUAGGUGAAGUCCCUGCGGAUGGAGCUGAGACCAGUCGAAGAUACCAGCUGGCUGCAACUGUUUAUUAAAAACACAGCACUGUGCAAACACGAAAGUGGACGUAUACGGUGUGACGCCUGCCCGGUGCCGGAAGGUUAAUUGAUGGGGUUAUCCGUAAGGAGAAGCUCUUGAUCGAAGCCCCGGUAAACGGCGGCCGUAACUAUAACGGUCCUAAGGUAGCGAAAUUCCUUGUCGGGUAAGUUCCGACCUGCACGAAUGGCGUAAUGAUGGCCAGGCUGUCUCCACCCGAGACUCAGUGAAAUUGAACUCGCUGUGAAGAUGCAGUGUACCCGCGGCAAGACGGAAAGACCCCGUGAACCUUUACUAUAGCUUGACACUGAACAUUGAGCCUUGAUGUGUAGGAUAGGUGGGAGGCUUUGAAGCGUGGACGCCAGUCUGCGUGGAGCCAACCUUGAAAUACCACCCUUUAAUGUUUGAUGUUCUAACGUUGGCCCCUGACCGGGGUUGCGGACAGUGUCUGGUGGGUAGUUUGACUGGGGCGGUCUCCUCCCAAAGCGUAACGGAGGAGCACGAAGGUUAGCUAAUCCUGGUCGGACAUCAGGAGGUUAGUGCAAUGGCAUAAGCUAGCUUGACUGCGAGCGUGACGGCGCGAGCAGGUGCGAAAGCAGGUCAUAGUGAUCCGGUGGUUCUGAAUGGAAGGGCCAUCGCUCAACGGAUAAAAGGUACUCCGGGGAUAACAGGCUGAUACCGCCCAAGAGUUCAUAUCGACGGCGGUGUUUGGCACCUCGAUGUCGGCUCAUCACAUCCUGGGGCUGAAGUAGGUCCCAAGGGUAUGGCUGUUCGCCAUUUAAAGUGGUACGCGAGCUGGGUUUAGAACGUCGUGAGACAGUUCGGUCCCUAUCUGCCGUGGGCGCUGGAGAAUUGAGGGGGGCUGCUCCUAGUACGAGAGGACCGGAGUGGACGCAUCACUGGUGUUCGGGUUGUCAUGCCAAUGGCACUGCCCGGUAGCUAAAUGCGGAAGAGAUAAGUGCUGAAAGCAUCUAAGCACGAAACUUGCCCCGAGAUGAGUUCUCCCUGAGACUUUAAGUCUCCUGAAGGAACGUUGAAGACGACGACGUUGAUAGGCCGGGUGUGUAAGCGCAGCGAUGCGUUGAGCUAACCGGUACUAAUGAACCGUGAGGCUUAACCUU